AACGCUAGCGGCAGGCUUAACACAUGCAUGUCGAGGGGUAACGAUCCCGCUUCGGUGGGAGGCGACGACCGGCAAAUGGGUGAGUAAUACAUAUGCAACUUGCCCGUAGCUGGAGGAUAGCUUCCGGAAACGGAAAUUAAUACUCCAUAAUAUCCUAAUAUCGCAUGUUAUAAGGAUUAAAGUUUCGACGGCUACGGAUGGGCAUAUGUCCCAUUAGCUUGUUGGUGAGGUAACGGCUCACCAAGGCUACGAUGGGUAGGGGGCCUGAGAGGGUGAUCCCCCACACUGGUACUGAGACACGGACCAGACUCCUACGGGAGGCAGCAGUGAGGAAUAUUGGUCAAUGGGCGAAAGCCUGAACCAGCCAUGCCGCGUGCAGGAUGACUGUCCUAUGGAUUGUAAACUGCUUUUCUGCAGGAAGAAACGCUUCUACGUGUAGAGGUUUGACGGUACUGCAGGAAUAAGCAUCGGCUAACUCCGUGCCAGCAGCCGCGGUAAUACGGAGGAUGCAAGCGUUAUCCGGAUUCAUUGGGUUUAAAGGGUGCGUAGGCGGAUUGGUAAGUCAAAGGUGAAAGUCUGUAGCUUAACUAUAGAAGUGCCUUUGAUACUGCUAGUCUUGAGUACAGUUGAGGCGAGUGGAAUGUGUAGUGUAGCGGUGAAAUGCAUAGAUACUACACAGAACACCAAUUGUGAAGACAGCUCGCUAAGCUGCUACUGACGCUCAGGCACGAAAGCGUGGGGAGCGAACAGGAUUAGAUACCCUGGUAGUCCACGCUGUAAACUAUGAUCACUAGCUGUUGGCGAUAAAUUGUCAGUGGCUGAGCGAAAGCGUUAAGUGAUCCACCUGGGGAGUACGAUCGCAAGGUU
Molecule: ribosomal RNA, 867 nt
Filed under: uncultured organism
Description: bacterial SSU rRNA
Rfam family: Bacterial small subunit ribosomal RNA
Source: RNAcentral